GGUAGAGAGAAGCUUGCUUCUCUUGAGAGCGGCGGACGGGUGAGUAAUGCCUAGGAAUCUGCCUGGUAGUGGGGGAUAACGCUCGGAAACGGACGCUAAUACCGCAUACGUCCUACGGGAGAAAGCAGGGGACCUUCGGGCCUUGCGCUAUCAGAUGAGCCUAGGUCGGAUUAGCUAGUUGGUGAGGUAAUGGCUCACCAAGGCGACGAUCCGUAACUGGUCUGAGAGGAUGAUCAGUCACACUGGAACUGAGACACGGUCCAGACUCCUACGGGAGGCAGCAGUGGGGAAUAUUGGACAAUGGGCGAAAGCCUGAUCCAGCCAUGCCGCGUGUGUGAAGAAGGUCUUCGGAUUGUAAAGCACUUUAAGUUGGGAGGAAGGGCAGUUACCUAAUACGUAUCUGUUUUGACGUUACCGACAGAAUAAGCACCGGCUAACUCUGUGCCAGCAGCCGCGGUAAUACAGAGGGUGCAAGCGUUAAUCGGAAUUACUGGGCGUAAAGCGCGCGUAGGUGGUUUGUUAAGUUGGAUGUGAAAUCCCCGGGCUCAACCUGGGAACUGCAUUCAAAACUGACAAGCUAGAGUAUGGUAGAGGGUGGUGGAAUUUCCUGUGUAGCGGUGAAAUGCGUAGAUAUAGGAAGGAACACCAGUGGCGAAGGCGACCACCUGGACUGAUACUGACACUGAGGUGCGAAAGCGUGGGGAGCAAACAGGAUUAGAUACCCUGGUAGUCCACGCCGUAAACGAUGUCAACUAGCCGUUGGGAGCCUUGAGCUCUUAGUGGCGCAGCUAACGCAUUAAGUGACCGCCUGGGAG
Molecule: ribosomal RNA, 815 nt
Filed under: Pseudomonadota bacterium
Lineage: Bacteria; Pseudomonadati; Pseudomonadota
Description: bacterial SSU rRNA
Rfam family: Bacterial small subunit ribosomal RNA
Source: RNAcentral